UACGAACAAGUGGCUGUCGGUUG
Molecule: microRNA, 23 nt
Filed under: Euprymna scolopes
Lineage: Eukaryota; Metazoa; Mollusca; Cephalopoda; Sepiida; Sepiolidae
Also listed under: 1 other name
Description: Esc-Mir-12532-v1_5p* (star (passenger))
Source: RNAcentral